This 453-nucleotide ribosomal RNA is filed under the name Paenibacillus sp. EKM311P. RNAcentral's name for it is "bacterial SSU rRNA". It matches the Rfam family "Bacterial small subunit ribosomal RNA", at positions 1032 to 1484 of the family's 1533-position model. Lineage: Bacteria; Bacillati; Bacillota; Bacilli; Caryophanales; Paenibacillaceae. The record is from RNAcentral.
AGACAGGUGGUGCAUGGUUGUCGUCAGCUCGUGUCGUGAGAUGUUGGGUUAAGUCCCGCAACGAGCGCAACCCUUAUAUUUAGUUGCCAGCACUUCGGGUGGGCACUCUAGAUAGACUGCCGGUGACAAACCGGAGGAAGGUGGGGAUGACGUCAAAUCAUCAUGCCCCUUAUGACCUGGGCUACACACGUACUACAAUGGCCGGUACAACGGGCUGCGAAAUCGCGAGAUGGAGCCAAUCCCAACAAAGCCGGUCUCAGUUCGGAUUGCAGGCUGCAACUCGCCUGCAUGAAGUCGGAAUUGCUAGUAAUCGCGGAUCAGCAUGCCGCGGUGAAUACGUUCCCGGGUCUUGUACACACCGCCCGUCACACCACGAGAGUUUAUAACACCCGAAGUCGGUGGGGUAACCGCAAGGAGCCAGCCGCCGAAGGUGGGAUAGAUGAUUGGGGUGAA